AGCAGCCGCGGUAAUUCCAGCUCCAAGAGCAUAUAUUAAAGUUGUUGCAGUUAAAAAGCUCGUAGUUGGAUUUCUGGUAUAAUGUACCUGGCCCGCGCCCGUCAGGGUUGUGAGUGCCGGCGCGCGUUUACCAUCCUUCUAGAAAACAGGCCUGUCAUUAACUUGGUGGGUUUGCGAUCUAGAUCUUUUACUUUGAAAAAAU
RNAcentral lists this ribosomal RNA (202 nucleotides) under uncultured Paraglomus. RNAcentral's name for it is "partial 18S ribosomal RNA". It matches the Rfam family "Eukaryotic small subunit ribosomal RNA", at positions 569 to 766 of the family's 1831-position model. The record is from RNAcentral. Lineage: Eukaryota; Fungi; Glomeromycota; Glomeromycetes; Paraglomerales; Paraglomeraceae.